CCUACGGGAGGCAGCAGUGAGGAAUAUUGGUCAAUGGACGGAAGGCUGAACCAGCCAAGCCGCGUGCAGGAAGAAGGCCCUAUGAGUUGUAAACUGCUUUUGUAAAAGGGUAAAGCUGAAUACGUGUAUGCAGCUGAAAGUACUGUACGAAUAAGGAUCGGCUAACUCCGUGCCAGCAGCCGCGGUAAUACGGAGGAUGCAAGCGUUAUCCGGAUUUAUUGGGUUUAAAGGGUGCGUAGGCGGAUUUAUAAGUUAGAGGCGAAAUGUCCGAGCUUAACUCGGGAACUGCCUCUAAUACUGUUGCUCUUGAGUGUACGUGCGGUAUGCGGAAUGUGUGGUGUAGCGGUGAAAUGCUUA
RNAcentral lists this ribosomal RNA (357 nucleotides) under uncultured bacterium. RNAcentral's name for it is "partial 16S ribosomal RNA". It matches the Rfam family "Bacterial small subunit ribosomal RNA", at positions 338 to 692 of the family's 1533-position model. The record is from RNAcentral.